RNAcentral lists this small nucleolar RNA (167 nucleotides) under Oryza sativa (Asian cultivated rice). Its description in RNAcentral is "Z240 small nucleolar RNA". The record is from RNAcentral. Lineage: Eukaryota; Viridiplantae; Streptophyta; Magnoliopsida; Poales; Poaceae.
AAUUAAACUAUGAUGAUGCAAGCAAGGCAAUAACAGAGUUGGCUUGCGGAUAGUAGACAGGGAAGAGAUGCCCUAGAAGCCCUUAGCUAGAUUGUCACUUCAGAUCAAGCACACUGUUGUAGAGUGGAGUGUAGUGCAAUACAACUGGUGAUUGAUCUGAUUUAAUU